RNAcentral lists this ribosomal RNA (1289 nucleotides) under Coleoptera sp. 26 KM-2017. Its description in RNAcentral is "16S ribosomal RNA". The stretch from base 1046 to 1204 matches the Rfam family "Archaeal large subunit ribosomal RNA", at positions 2542 to 2701 of the family's 2987-position model. Lineage: Eukaryota; Metazoa; Arthropoda; Insecta; Coleoptera. The record is from RNAcentral.
AUUUGAAUUUAAUGUUUUAUUUUUUAUUUUAUUUUAUUAAAAUUUAAAAGAAAUAAUUUUAAUUUUAUUAAUUUUAUUUGAAAAAAGUUUAUUAAUUAUAGUGUAAAGUAUUGUGAAAGAAUAAUAUUUAAAUAUAAAAAAGAAAUUUUGAUUUAAUGUACCUUGGGUAUCAGGGUUUAUAAAAAAAAGUUAAUUAAUUUAAUUUUCUCGAAUUUAAAAGAGCUAAUUUUAUAUAUUUUUUAUUGUUUCAUAAAUAUUAAUAAUAUAAAAUUAGUAAUGAAAUGUUAGUCGUUUUUGAAUAUAUCUAGUUUUUUAAGAAAUAAAUUUAAUUUAGUGAAUUAAUAUAAUUAUUAUAAAUUUUUAUUAUUAUUAUUUAAUUUAUAAAUAUUUUAAGGGAUAAGCUUUAAAAUAAAAAUUUAAAAAUUUAGGAUAAAAAAAUAAAUUAUAGAAUUAGAAGUUUUCAAUUUUAAAAUAAUGUUAUAAUUAAUUAUUUUAAUAUAAUAUUUUUAUAAAUUUUAAGUUUUUUAUUAAAAUUUUUAUUUUAAUUUUAAAAAUAAAGUAAUUAUGAUAAAAUUAGUAUAUUUUAAUUUAGUUUUAAAUUAAUUAAUUAAUUUAAGGUUAAGGAAUUCGGCAAAUAUUUUUUUACCUGUUUAUUAAAAACAUGUCUUUUUGUAAUUAAUUUAAAGUCUGACCUGCCCAAUGAUUUAAUUGAAUGGCCGCAGUAUCUUGACUGUGCUAAGGUAGCAUAAUCAUUAGUUUUUUAAAUGAAAGCUGGAAUGAAAGGUUUGAUAAAAAAAAUUCUGUCUCAAUUUUAAUAUUAAAAUUUUAUUUUUAAGUAAAAAAGCUUAAAUUUUUUAAAAAGACGAGAAGACCCUAUAGAGUUUUAUAUUUAUUUAUUGAAUUUAUUUUUAGAUUUAAAUGUAUUUUAAAUAUUUUAAGUAUUGGAUUGGGGUGAUUUAAAAAUUAAAAUAACUUUUUAAUUUUAAAACAUUUAUUUAUGAAUAGUUGAUCCUAUUUUAAGAUUAAAAGAAAAAAUUACCUUAGGGAUAACAGCGUAAUUUUUUUUGAGAGUUCUUAUCGAAAAAAAAGUUUGCGACCUCGAUGUUGGAUUAAAGUUAAAUUUUGAUGUAGAAGUUAAAAUUUUAAGUCUGUUCGACUUUUAAAACUUUACAUGAUCUGAGUUUAAACCGGUGUGAGCCAGGUUGGUUUCUAUCUUUUAGAUAAUUAAAUAUUUUAGUACGAAAGGACCAAAUAUUUAAAUAAUAUUUUUAUUUUGAAUAAUAUUAUUA